Molecule: ribosomal RNA, 253 nt
Filed under: uncultured bacterium
Lineage: Bacteria
Description: partial 16S ribosomal RNA
Rfam family: Bacterial small subunit ribosomal RNA
Source: RNAcentral
UACAGAGGUCUCAAGCGUUGUUCGGAUUCAUUGGGCGUAAAGGGUGCGUAGGUGGCGCGGUAAGUCGGGUGUGAAAUCUCGGAGCUUAACUCCGAAAUUGCAUUCGAUACUGCCGUGCUUGAGGACUGGAGAGGAGACUGGAAUUUACGGUGUAGCAGUGAAAUGCGUAGAGAUCGUAAGGAAGACCAGUGGCGAAGGCGGGUCUCUGGACAGUUCCUGACGCUGAGGCACGAAGGUCAGGGGAGCAAACGGG